Molecule: RNase P RNA, 375 nt
Filed under: Tindallia californiensis
Lineage: Bacteria; Bacillati; Bacillota; Clostridia; Peptostreptococcales; Tindalliaceae
Description: Bacterial RNase P class A
Rfam family: Bacterial RNase P class A
About the family: Ribonuclease P (RNase P) is a ubiquitous endoribonuclease, found in archaea, bacteria and eukarya as well as chloroplasts and mitochondria. Its best characterised activity is the generation of mature 5'-ends of tRNAs by cleaving the 5'-leader elements of precursor-tRNAs.
Source: Rfam by way of RNAcentral
CGAGUAAGUCAGAUAGUCGCGGCAUCUUUUAUAAGAUGACGAGGAAAGUCCGAGCUCCGCAGGGCAGGGUGCUGGGUAGCUCCCAGUAGAGGUGACUCUAAGGAAAGUGCAACAGAGAUAUACCGCUCAAUAACUAAAGGCUGUCUUUUAGAGAUUGCUUUGAUGUUGAGUAAGGGUGGAAAGGUGAGGUAAGAGCUCACCAGCGGUCAGGUGACUGGCUGGCUAUGUAAACCCCAUCCGGAGCAAGACCAAGUAGGGAUAAGGUAGCGAUUGCCCGUCGUGUCCCGUGGUAGGUUGCUUGAGCCUAUUGGUAACAAUAGGUCUAGAUAGAUGACUAUCGAAUACAGAACUCGGCUUAUAGAUUUAACUCGCUCC